Homo sapiens (human) is the source of this 2053-nucleotide long non-coding RNA. Lineage: Eukaryota; Metazoa; Chordata; Mammalia; Primates; Hominidae. The record is from Ensembl.
ACUCGCGGGGAUUGUUUUCCACACCGUGGAAGCUUUGUUCUUUUCGUUUUUUGCAAUAAAUCUUGUUGCUGCUCGCUUUUUGGGUCCACAUUGCUUUUAUGAGCUGUACCACUCACCGUGAAGAUCUGCAGCUUCACUUCAGAGCCUAGCGAGACCACAAGCUCACUGAGAGGAACAAACAACUCCAGACGCGCUGUCUUAAGAGCUAUAACACUCACCGCGAAGGUGUGCAGUUUCACUCCUGAGCUAGUGAGACUACGAAGCCACUGGAACGAAGAAACUCCAACCACGUUUGAACAUCAGAAGGGGCAGACUCCAGACGCUUCAUCUUAAGAGCUGUAACACUCACUGUGAAGGUCUGCAGCUUCACUCCUGAGCCAGCGAGACCACGAACCGAUCUGAACAUCAGAAGGGACAGACUCCAGAUGCCCCACCUUAAGAGCUGUAAUACUCACUGCAAGGGUCUGCAGCUUCAUUCUUGAAGUCAGACCAAGAACCCAGCAAUUCCCAACACACAGGGACCAGCUUCUUUCCUAACUCACUUAGGCUCUUCGUGCUGCUCUGGCAACUAACACCCUUGGCUGCAGGGGCUUGGACACUACCCUUAGUCACUGACAAUUGUGUGAAGGCUGCUGUCGUUAACUUCACUUGAUCACCUUAGGCUCCUGUGAAGUGGUGAGCAAUUCAAACAAAUUCCUGUCGUCAAAUCAUAAUCCUGAUUUUGUUUGGAAGGACAGCGUGCCUGGUUCCAGGACUUGAAUCAUUCGUUUGUCCAGCAUCUCCAUGCUGUGUACGCUACCCGCCUGUUAGUCAUUGACACUGUCUGCUCCUGACAUCCACCCAUCAAUAUUGUCAUUGCUCAAUGAUCCAGGAUCACCGAGAGCAGAUGAGCCUCCUGAUGCAUGGUCAGAAGGAUAUACAUCUUUCCACACCAAUAGACCUUGUUUUCCGAUGUAGCAUUAUUUUUCAUAGUUGGCGAAUAUACAGUUAUGGAUUCAUAACAGCAAGAUGGAGAAAUUGCACUGCAGAGAAAUCUUUAAAAGCAAUUACCUAAUACUGCAGAUUGCUGAACUGUACCCACACCCAAGACUGAGCAUUGGAUCAAUCCAGAAUAUACAUCAGGUGUUCUGCAAUGUCUGCCUAAAACCAUGACUCUGCCUCCUCCAGCUGUUGCUACAUCUCACUAUGGGUUUCCUGUGACAUUUUGAGCAAGUAUGCCUCUGUGACUGGGGUUCUUACACUCCAGAAUGGAUGAGAAGCACCGAGCAUUCUAGCUAAGAAAUGAAGGAGGCGUGACAGAAAAUAACCAUUUUGCAGCUCCUUGUGGACUAAUGAAUAGAUGCAUUGAGCAAUAACAAUUGCUACUAUGAGAGAGAGAGAAAGAGAGAGAGAGAGCGCACGCCAGAUAUUAUAUAUCCUGAUGGAAGAAUACAGCACCACCUGUGAAAUAUUUCCCACUCCUCAUUCUCUGCUGGAAAAAAGGACCUGACUCUGAACAGGCCUCUAGAUACAACUACCAAGAGAGAGGAAGUACAGAGGGACAUGGGAAGCCACCAUGGGGAUGCCAUCAGCACUCUGGUCAGGGGAGAUGCUACAGGACAGCAAUGUGGCUUCCACCAGAAAUAAAAUGCAAGAAGGACCUUUAGAUUGAAAAAGACCUGAGACAUAACAACGAAUCACAGGCGUGGGCUUCAUUUAGAUCUUGACUGAAGCAAAUAAACCAUAAAAGGAAAUAAAAUUAUGAAAUGUAUGAGUCAACUGGAAAUUCAAAUAUGACUGGACAUGUGAUGGCCUGUUAAGAAACUAUCUUUGAUUGUUUACAGAUGUGAUUGUGGUAUUGUGAUUAUGUUGGGGGAGGGAAAGAAUUUAUCCUUUUAGUGACACAUACUGAAAUAUUUACAGAUUAAGUGAUAAGGUCUCUAGGAUUUGCUUCAAAUUAGUAUAAGAGUAGAGUACCUAGGGGCGGUUAAAAUGAAACAACAUUGUUCACGAGUUAAUUAUUUAAGAAUUUAAAGCAUAUGGACAUAUGGGGAUAUAUUAUACUAUUCUGUAU